RNAcentral lists this long non-coding RNA (5166 nucleotides) under Vigna radiata. RNAcentral's name for it is "long non-coding RNA (VRAD_LNC010183)". The record is from RNAcentral. Lineage: Eukaryota; Viridiplantae; Streptophyta; Magnoliopsida; Fabales; Fabaceae.
ACCUAUAAAAGAGAGCUUCAUCACUUGUACACAUUAACUUGAAUGAUAGUAAUGAGAUGUUGCUAAAUUUCGGCCGUUCUUCUUCAAGUUCAAACUUUUCAUUGCUUUAACUUUGCCUCCUCCAGCUUCUUUCCCCUAUGGAAAGCCUGCUGAGCUAGAAUUCUAUCUCCACAUUCAUCUAACACCACCAGACAUUAUCACAAACACCUUCUGUGCAUCAUCUUCCAUCAACCAGUUCAUCAUUCCGUUGCCACAUUCUGUCCAAGGAGCCACUCCAUUCUUGAAGAUUGGAGACGCUUCCAUCAUUUGGUAUUAGAGCCAGCACGUCCACGCGGCUCUGCAUGAGCUAAGUCAGUCAUUCCACUCGUUUUCAAUGUUUCCGUGUUGUUCUGUUCAUCUAUCACUGUUACAUUGAUUUUCUGUUUGAUUCUUCUGUUUGAGUGAAUAUUUAUUUUCGUUCACUGUUCUAUAGUGUGUCUACAUCAUUUUAAUCGGUGCAUCUUCCUUAAUUUUGUUCCAUUCCAACUUAAUUUUCAGAUCCGUACUGUCAAAGUCAUGUGGAAUGGUUUUUGCAAAAUUUUUCCCUGUUAUAAGGUUUUGAUUCUGUUCCAGCGUUGAUUUUCGAUUUUGAUUGUGUCUGAGGCAUUUGAUAAGUUGAUCAUAUAAAGUAAUGGAGUUCCGUCCAGCUUUGAUCAUUUGAGUUGAAAGCAUUGCAAAUUUUUUUUCCAGUUGCAAAUCUGUUUUUUUCAACUCUACAUACGUGUUUUUUUUCUGGUUUGAUAUGAUGCACACUGUUUCAGCCAGUUUCUUGUGUCUAUGAACCUUGCUACAAGUUUGUUUUAGGUUUUUAAACAUGAUUCAAGUUGUUCCAAUUCAGAUUAAACACUGAUUUGUGAAAAUCAUACUUGAGUUGCUUACAAAAUCUGUAAAACAAUGCUGUUAAAAUAUUCUUUUCACCUAUGCACCGUGCUACCAUCAUUGCCAUGUCUUAGAUCAUUUUUUAAAUCUCCGAGCUAAAAUUCUGAAGCUAGAUCUAGUACAUUAGAACAUUCUCAAGCGUUUGAUUGAGCCAUCCAGCUUUGCUUCUUUCAGUUUUUGAAUUCUGCUGCUGUUUGAAAAAUUUUGCUGCAUUUUUUGCUACAGCAGAGGUGAUUUGAUGACUCCGGUUGUUUCUAUGCAUUCUGACCAUUUGAACAAGUUUAUUUUGUCAUUUGAAACUUGUGUGCACUGUUCAUUUGGUCACUCUUAAGCCUAUGUGCAAAAUCACAAUUGAAAUCGUCAAAUUUUGUUGAAUUUGGAAGUGAACCAGCAAAAAUUUGAUUCAACCUUUGCCUUUGCUGUUUAACUGCCUGCAACCAUUCCAUAUGUUCAUAUAAAUGUGUUUGAAGUGUCAUUAUCAUACCUGAACAACUGCCUUUGCAUUUAGCCACUGCAGUUGCCAUUUUGUUGCCACUGUUUCUCAUUCUAGUGUAGUUUUGGUGCAUUUUCCUGCAUAAUUUGGCAACUAGUGAUGCCAUUUUGUGAUUCUGUACCUGCCAGUGCAUUUUCAAUGUAUUUGCAAGUCCAUUUGGCCAAUUAAAACUUGCAGUUACUGUUCAUUUGGACAAUGUUACACCAGAUCUGCAAAAUCUGUCUUAACCAUUGAAAUUGCUUAAUUUUAGUAAGUGUAUCAAUGAUUUUCGGGUAUGAUCAUUUUCCUUGCUGUUUGACAGUUUAAACACAUUCCAAAUAUGCAUACAAAGUUUCUCCAAUACUCAUCUUAGAUGUCUAAACAUCUCUAUACAGAAAUGCAUCUCAAACCAGCCAUGUUAAGGCUAUUUUUCUUGAGCAAUCAGCUGCUGCAACAGCUCUAAAUCUGAUUGGUGCAUGUAAUCAGUUGCAUAUGGAGUGUAGCAAAAUAUUGGUGUCUUUACUGAUUAAACACACUUCAAAUCAUUAUUAAAAAGUUUGGAAAAAGCAUCUGGACUAGUACACUCCAUUUGUGAGAUCUGAUGCACCAAAACCAGAAUUUUUAGCCAAAAAAAUCUGGUUUUUCAUUGAGGCAUUUCUUCAAACACAUUUGCGAACUUUGUAUUGAGUCUGAAUUCGACAUCUUUGCAGCAUUUUUUCGUUUUCUUGCUUUCUUAAUCCAUUAUAGAGCCUUUCAUACGUUCAAUUUGCGUGCCAUCUUUUAUCGUACACCUUUAAUAGCUUGAUUUACAUUGCUUGGAAUUUCUGCACUUAAACUGUUUGAUAAAAAGCCAAAGUAAAGUCUGGUUGACCCAAAAAUCUGGUGUAGUGGAACAUUCAUGUUGCUCACGGGUUUUCUAUCUUGUUUGGAUUAUGAUGCUGCUCUGGUGGAGUUCUAGCAUCCAGCUUGCUCUUCAAAAGGGGUAGCAUCUUAAGGAGUGGAAGCAUUGUUAAAGUAAGCACAAGUUUGGACUCCAAGAGCAUUUUCUUUGCUAUCCACAAAACCGUUCCAGCAGUAAUCUUUCAGCAGCAACAUAUCAAAAUUUGGCAUUCUAGCACCUUGAAACAGAAGCCACACUUGGCUUUUUCAUCUUAAAACACUUUUCAUUGUACUUGUAACUUGCUAUCAUAGAACUGUGUUUAAUUUGUUUCUUUUCCAUAUGCAAAUUAAAGUGCCUUGGAAAAAUGCUUUUCUAGCAAUUCCAAGUACACAAUCAAACAUUGUAAUAGCUUAGUUUCCACAUCUUAGUGUGAAAGUGUGUCAAGGGGCUCAAAGUGUCACUUGCACUUUCACUUAGGGUCGUGUCUCAUUCCUUCUUUCCAUUUGCAUAAAUUCUUUUAUUUUUGCUUGUUGAUAUUUUUGUUUUACAUCUCCGUGAUAUCUAGGUGCACACUCAUAUAGUAAACCUUCGUUUGGUUUCUAGGUGCAUUUCAUAGUGCAUUCAAAAAGUUUCGAAAGACUUCUACAUUGAAACUUGGGUAAGACACGUCAGGAGAAACUCUGGCUAAGGAAGGACAAGGUUUUUAAGCUUGUCCAUUGUGACUCACCUCUCCUUCCUGGGAGCUAUUCGGUUUCUUCACCUUUAAAGUCUUUAUAAACAUCUUUUACAAAAAUCUAAAUUUUUUUUGAUGUAUUGUUAUGAUUCCUAUAGGUCUUCUUCUUCAUAUAGACCCUCUAGGUCUUCUAGUCUUCAUCAACCAAUUAGUUUCAAAGCAUUUAAAAGAAAACUUGAUGAAGCUAGAAGAAGAACUUGUUCAUUUUAUGAAUUUGAGAGGAUUGAGGAUGAGUUGUAUACACAAGUUAGGCACAAUAUUCCAUUUUUUGGUCAAGACAUUGGUGCAUUGACAUACCUAGCUUGGGAAAAGGACAUUGAUGACUUGCAUCCAUUCAUUCCUAGAGAAAGUAAACAUGAAUCCUAUUUUCAUUCUAGCAAUAAUGCAUUUAAUGUCCUUAGUCUCUACACAUCUAGAUUUGAAAUACAUGCAAGAGAGUGGUGGGAUGAAAGGCAAUAUCAUGUUAGGAUAGGUAGAAAAUCCCCCAUCCAUGAAUGGAAUGACCUAAAAUCUUGCAUGAGAAAAAAUUUUGUUCCUUCAACCAUUAAGAGAAACCUACAAUCCCUAAGAGCUUAUAUUGAAGAUGGAAAAACAUUUCUUGAAAGCUUAAAUGACAAUGGUUUCAAUUCUUAGAGAAUUAGAAUUUGAAAUUAGACUUAAGGAGUUAAAGGUUGAGACACUAGAGUUGAAAGUUAAGAGACUAGAUGUUGAGAGACAAAAGGAGGAGGAAAGAAGAGAUAAAGAGAAGAGAGAGAGCGAAGAAAGAGAAGAGGAGAAGAGAGAGAGAGCAGAAAAAAAAGCAAAGAAAAAAAGAGAGAAUAAAAGAAGAAGAGAAAAGAGAGAAAGGAAGAAGAGAGAUGAGAAAGAGAGAGAACAAAAGAGGAAAACAAAAGAGAAGAAGAAAAGAAGAAAGAAUAGGAAAAUAGAGAGAAGGAGCUCUUGCUACUGAUGGCAAUUCCUAAUCUUACCUUUACAAUGGAACCUAAAAGGGAAGGGUUCUCAUUCUUUACUUCUUUUCCAAUUAUUUUGAACUCUUCCAUUGUUCAAUUUUCAUUUCAAACAAUUGUCAUUCCAUGUUCUUUACAAUCCUUUUCAAAAUAUGGUAAUUCAAAACUUGAGUUAAUUUUACCCUUGUGUAAACAAGUAACUCAAGAUAAAAAUCACAUCACUUGGGCAUAUCAAAUUUUCCAGUGGUCCAAUAUUAAAUUUCAAAAAAACUUUUCCACAAAUACAAAACUAUUCUUUUGUCUUCUUAUCUUGGCUUACAUCUUUAUCAUACUCAUUUUUGCUAUCUUUUUUAGAUGUAUUUUUGAUCUAGGCGGACAACAAAACCAAAAGUUGUGCUUCUUUAUUUCUUCACGAUUUGAGGACAAAUCGUUUUUAAAGAGGGAGGGAAUUCACUCACAAGCUUAAUCAUUAUUCCAACCAUCUGAUAAUGGUUUGAAACACCGUUAUUUGCUAUGUGAUUUAGAUACUAAAAGCACCCUUUUUCACUUAGAAACUUGCUUGGACUCACGUGUUUUCAAUAAAAUGUGUGAAUGAGAGAGUUGAGGUCAAUUUUAAUAGUUUUCUAACAAAUUCCCCUUGUUUUGACAGAGAUUGAAGCAAUACUGGAAGAAGAAGUUAAAAUCCAAGAAGAUGAAGCUCAAAAGGGGUCAAAAAGGCACCAAAAAGAAGGAAAACGCGAAGCCCGAGUGAUAGGAACGAGAAAAGUGCACGAGCAGAAUCACUGCUGGUCGCCCGAGCGGUGGCCCCGACGCCCGGGCAACGGACAUUCGUAGCUUGGGCAUCCAAUUCUGACGCCCAGGCCUUACAGAAGCUUCAAAUCUCGCCCAGGCGAGCUCCCUACGACACUUGAGCGUGAUUUCAUGUGGACCGGGCCCUAUUUCUGCUCUGAUUUGAUUCUUUUGGACCGGGCCGCACUCCAGGACGCAUUUGACACUAUUUGAAGGACCCUGGGGCUCUGGGUUUUGCAUCCUUGGCAGAAAAGAACACUUCAAUACACUCUUAGCCUAUCUUCCAUCAUCUUCUUUUCUUCCAUUGUUAAUAGAGUUCCCUCAUGUCUAUGGGGAACUAAUUUCUAUUUGUUGUUGGGGAAUGAUGUAACCUUGUAAACUCUCAUGUAUUUGAAUUGAUUCUUAAUUCUAUAUGCUUUUUCAUUAA